UUGAUGUUGCUGCUCCUCUCCAUGUCUUCUACAUAUGGUGGAAGUGUUUCAUCUAUAGUAGUAGGCUUGGACUUCAGAAUUUUUUGGUCCAGUGUGUUUUUUGCUGCCAUAACCCCAUUGGAAUUGUUUGCUGACAUGAACAACAUAGACAUAUCCUGAAAGAGGUUAAGUGCUUCUUGUAGGGUGGUGCUGUUAAGAAGAAGCCCAAAACAGUAGGUGGCAUAUUCCUUUACAGCAUUUUUUGGCUGACAAUUAGAUGUGCUCUGUUUAUAUCUUUCUUUAUUGAAGGCCAGGAGGACACUUCCGUUGGUUGUGUGACUGGCUUUUAGCUGCAUAAAAUCUGAGAAAACGCUACUCAUGAACUCACACGUAGACGAUGGCGUCGCCGAAGAUGAUUUCUGCAGUGCGCAUGCGUAAAGUCUCAACGACCCCUAUUGGUUCGCUGAACUUCCGGGUGGCACGAGUGACCACGCCCCCCGCGCUAAUGCACCGGAGAGAUGGCGCUACGUCGUAGUCGUACAGCUGAAUUUCUGCAGUAUGGACCGCAGGGGAAGCAGAAACUCCGAUCUCUUCCAGUUUAUCCGCAGAUGAGAAAUAGUCUAAAUAAUAAUAAUAAUAAUAAUAAUAAUAAUAAUAAUAAUAAUAAUAAUAAUACAACACGUGCCUUUGUGUUCAGUUACAUAUUUAUCGAUCAUCUUAACUUUGAGUAAAUAAAU
Ictalurus punctatus (channel catfish) is the source of this 716-nucleotide long non-coding RNA. RefSeq lists it as uncharacterized. The record is from RefSeq and is a predicted model, not a curated record. The transcript has 3 exons. Lineage: Eukaryota; Metazoa; Chordata; Actinopteri; Siluriformes; Ictaluridae.